GAUGAACGCUGGCGGCGUGCCUAAUACAUGCAAGUCGAGCGAACAGACGAGGAGCUUGCUCCUCUGACGUUAGCGGCGGACGGGUGAGUAACAAGUGGAUAACCUACCUAUAAGACUGGGAUAACUUCGGGAAACCGGAGCUAAUACCGGAUAAUAUAUUGAACCGCAUGGUUCAAUAGUGAAAGACGGUUUUGCUGUCACUUAUAGAUGGAUCCGCGCCGCAUUCGCUAGUUGGUAAGGUAACGGCUUACCAAGGAAACGAUGCGUAGCCGACCUGAGAGGGGGAUCGGCCACACUGGAACUGAGACACGGUCCAGACUCCUACGGGAGGCAGCAGUAGGGAAUCUGCCGCAAUGGGCGAAAGCCUGACGGAGCAACGCCGCGUGAGUGAUGAAGGUUUUCGGAUCGUAAAACUCUGUUAUUAGGGAAGAACAAAUUUGUAAGUAACUAUGCACGUCUUGACGGUACCUAAUCAGAAAGCCACGGCUAACUACGUG
This 497-nucleotide ribosomal RNA is filed under the name uncultured bacterium. RNAcentral describes it as "partial 16S ribosomal RNA". It matches the Rfam family "Bacterial small subunit ribosomal RNA", at positions 28 to 507 of the family's 1533-position model. The record is from RNAcentral.